Molecule: long non-coding RNA, 372 nt
Filed under: Elaeis guineensis (African oil palm)
Lineage: Eukaryota; Viridiplantae; Streptophyta; Magnoliopsida; Arecales; Arecaceae
Description: long non-coding RNA (EGUI_LNC010565)
Source: RNAcentral
GUCGAGGUUAUCUUUUAGUUCUAUCAAAUACCGAUCUAAAGAUCGAAAUUAUCAUUCAGUUCUAUCAAAUAUCGAUCUAAAGGUCGAGGUUAUCAUUCAGUUCUAUUAAAUACUGAUCUGAAGGUCGAGGUUAUCUUUCAGUUCUAUAAAAUAUCAAUCUGAAAGUCGAUAUUAUCAUUCAGUUCUAUCAAAUACCGAUUUGAAGGUCGAUGUUAUCUUUCAGUUUUAUAAAAUAUUGAUAUGAAAGUCGAGGUUAUCUUUCAGUUCUAUCAAAUACUGAUCUAAAGGUCAAAAUUAUUAUUCAGUUCUAUAAAAUACCGAUCUGAAGGUCGAGAUUAUCUUUCAGUUUUAUCAAAUACCGAUUUGAAGGUC